AACGAACGCUGGCGGCAUGCUUAACACAUGCAAAGUCAAACGGUAACGGAGGUGCUUGCACCUGCCGACGAGUGGCGCACGGGUGAGUAACGCGUGGAUACCUGUCUAGAGGUGGGGGACAACAGUUGGAAACGACUGCUAAUACCGCAUAAUCCCUUCGGGGGAAAGAUUUAUCGCCUUUAUGAGGGGUCCGCGUUGGAUUAGAUAGUUGGUGGGGUAAUGGCCUACCAAGUCGACGAUCCAUAGCUGGUCUGAGAAGAUGGCCAGCCACACUGGGACUGAGACACGGCCCAGACUCCUACGGGAGGCAGCAGUGGGGAAUAUUGCGCAAUGGGGGAGACCCUGACGCAGCAAAUGCCGCGUGAGUGAAGAAGGUUCUCGGAUUGUAAAGCUACUUUCAGCUGGGAAGAUAGUGACGGUACCAGCAGAAGAAGCCCCGGNUAACUCCGU
Molecule: ribosomal RNA, 450 nt
Filed under: uncultured Magnetococcaceae bacterium
Lineage: Bacteria; Pseudomonadati; Pseudomonadota; Magnetococcia; Magnetococcales; Magnetococcaceae
Description: bacterial SSU rRNA
Rfam family: Bacterial small subunit ribosomal RNA
Source: RNAcentral